This 253-nucleotide ribosomal RNA is filed under the name uncultured bacterium. RNAcentral's name for it is "partial 16S ribosomal RNA". It matches the Rfam family "Bacterial small subunit ribosomal RNA", at positions 524 to 776 of the family's 1533-position model. The record is from RNAcentral.
UACGUAGGGGGCAAGCGUUGUCCGGAUUUAUUGGGCGUAAAGAGCGUGUAGGCGGCUUUACAGGUCCGUUGUGAAAACUCGAGGCUCAACCUCGAGACGCCGGUGGAAACCGUAAAGCUAGAGUCCGGAAGAGGAGAGUGGAAUUCCUGGUGUAGCGGUGAAAUGCGCAGAUAUCAGGAAGAACACCAAUGGCGAAGGCAGCGCUCUGGGACGGUACUGACGCUGAGACGCGAAAGCGUGGGGAGCGAACAGG